RNAcentral lists this unclassified non-coding RNA (1770 nucleotides) under uncultured fungus. Its description in RNAcentral is "sequence contains 18S rRNA gene, ITS1, 5.8S rRNA gene, ITS2, 28S rRNA gene". The stretch from base 795 to 1770 matches the Rfam family "Eukaryotic large subunit ribosomal RNA", at positions 1 to 961 of the family's 3401-position model. The record is from RNAcentral. Lineage: Eukaryota; Fungi.
GGAAGGAUCAUUGCUGAGUUCUUUGAAGUGUAGGGUUUUCACCUUUGUCUUUACCUUUGAUGCUAGCAGCAAAACUUGUUGCAAUGUGCUCAAGGAUCUUUGGACAGGGGGGAUGCCCUUCUACUUUCAAAUCCUCUCACUUCAUUCUUUUUAACACCUGUGCACUUAUAAGCAAGGUCUCAUUAACCUGGGGAAUUAGUCUUUGUGGUUGGUACUAUUGUGUAUUAUGCACAAUGUGUACAUAUCCUUACAAGGAUGCCUCAAGUGAAUGUGUGGACUUUGUCUUUUUCUUACAAACCCUAUAAAAUGUCUUGUAGAAUGGAAUGCUCCAGUUGUGAGCAAAGUGUAUGUAAAUACAACUUUCAACAAUGGAUCUCUUGGCUCUCGCAUCGAUGAAGAACGCAGCGAAAUGCGAUAAGUAAUGUGAAUUGCAGAAUUCAGUGAAUCAUCGAAUCUUUGAACACACCUUGUGCUCCUUGGGUCACCUAUGGAGCAUGCCUGUUUGAGUGUCAUAUUGAUCUCAAUUCCCCCAGGUUUUUGUUACAAUAACCUGUUUGGGUGGAUUGGACUUGGAGGCUGAAUGCUGGUCUGUUACUAGAUCAGCUCCUCUUAAAAACAUUAGCUGGGGGAUGAGGCGAAGGGAGAUCUCCUUUAGCACUGGUUAUAUGCUAUGGUGUAAUAAUUGUUUCAUCAUGGCCCUUGGACUUAAUCAGUGUGCAUGACUUGGGGAUUACCUUUGCAGCUUUCUCUGCUUCUAAUUGUCGGGCUAUGCUUGACAAUUUAUUAUUCUCUUUUGGCCUCAAAUCAGGUAGGACUACCCGCUGAACUUAAGCAUAUCAAUAAGCGGAGGAAAAGAAACUAACAAGGAUUCCCCUAGUAACUGCGAGUGAAGCGGGAAAAGCUCAAAUUUAAAAUCUGGCAGCUCUGCUGUCCGAGUUGUAAUCUGUAGAAGCGUUUUCUGCAUUGGACCGUGUACAAGUCUCUUGGAACAGAGUGUCAUAGAGGGUGAGAAUCCCGUUCAUGACACGGACUACCAAUGCUUUGUGAUACGCUCUCAAAGAGUCGAGUUGUUUGGGAAUGCAGCUCAAAAUGGGUGGUAAAUUCCAUCUAAAGCUAAAUACAGGCGAGAGACCGAUAGCGAACAAGUACCGUGAGGGAAAGAUGAAAAGCACUUUGGAAAGAGAGUUAAACAGUAUGUGAAAUUGUUGAAAGGGAAACACUUGAAGUCAGUCACAUCCUGCAGGACUCAGCCUUGCCUACGGGUUUGGUGCACUUCCUGCAGGAUGGGUCAGCAUCAAUUUUGGUUGGUGGAUAAAGGAUGGGGGAAUGUGGCACCUUUGGGUGUGUUAUAGCCCCUUUUCAUAUACAUUGACUGGGAUUGAGGACUGCAGCAUGCCCUUGUAGGCCAGGACCUAUCAUGUUACAUGCUUAGGAUGCUGACAAAAUGGCUUUAAGUGACCCGUCUUGAAACACGGACCAAGGAGUCUAACAUGCCUGCAAGUGUUUGGGUGGAAAACCCUUACGCACAAUGAAAGUGAAAGUUGGGAACCUCUGUAAGGGGGUGCACCAAUGCCCAGCCCUGAUGUUUACUGACGGUGCUGCGGUGGAGCAUGUAUGUUGGGACCCGAAAGAUGGUGAACUAUGCCUGAAUAGGGUGAAGCCAGAGGAAACUCUGGUGGAAGCUCGUAGCGAUUCUGACGUGCAAAUCGAUCGUCAAAUUUGGGUAUAGGGGCGAAAGACUAAUCGAACCAUCUAGUAGCUGGUUCCUGC